RNAcentral lists this ribosomal RNA (254 nucleotides) under uncultured bacterium. Its description in RNAcentral is "partial 16S ribosomal RNA". It matches the Rfam family "Bacterial small subunit ribosomal RNA", at positions 524 to 776 of the family's 1533-position model. The record is from RNAcentral.
UACGGGGGGAGCAAGCGUUGUUCGGAUUUACUGGGCGUAAAGGGCGCGUAGGCGGCCACCGCAAGUCGACUGUGAAAUCUCCGGGCUUAACCCGGAAAGGUCAGCCGAUACUGCGGGGCUAGAGUGCAGAAGGGGCAACUGGAAUUCUCGGUGUAGCGGUGAAAUGCGUAGAUAUCGAGAGGAACACCUGCGGCGAAGGCGGGUUGCUGGGCUGACACGUGACGCUGAGGCGCGAAAGCCAGGGAGCGAACGGG